UCCAUUGCCCAGUUGGUAGAGCACAAGGAUCUUAACCUUGUGAUCGUGGGUUCACGCCCUACGAUGGAG
Molecule: transfer RNA, 69 nt
Filed under: Triticum aestivum (bread wheat)
Lineage: Eukaryota; Viridiplantae; Streptophyta; Magnoliopsida; Poales; Poaceae
Also listed under: 1 other name
Rfam family: tRNA
About the family: Transfer RNA (tRNA) molecules are approximately 80 nucleotides in length.
Source: Rfam by way of RNAcentral